This 92-nucleotide non-coding RNA is filed under the name Carlito syrichta (Philippine tarsier). Lineage: Eukaryota; Metazoa; Chordata; Mammalia; Primates; Tarsiidae. The record is from RNAcentral.
GACUGGUCUGAUAGUAGUGGGUUAUCAGAACUUAUUAAUAUUAACGUCACUAAAGUUGGUAUUCAAACCCCCACUGCUGAAUUUGGCGUAAA